Molecule: ribosomal RNA, 483 nt
Filed under: uncultured bacterium
Lineage: Bacteria
Description: bacterial SSU rRNA
Rfam family: Bacterial small subunit ribosomal RNA
Source: RNAcentral
CAUGCAAGUCGAGCGAGCGGAGCCAACAGAUUUACUUCGGUAAUGACGUUGGGAAAGCGAGCGGCGGAUGGGUGAGUAACACGUGGGGAACCUGCCCCUAAGUCUGGGAUACCAUUUGGAAACAGGUGCUAAUACCGGAUAAUAAAGCAGAUCGCAUGAUCAGCUUUUGAAAGGCGGCGUAAGCUGUCGCUAAGGGAUGGCCCCGCGGUGCAUUAGCUAGUUGGUAGGGUAACGGCCUACCAAGGCAAUGAUGCAUAGCCGAGUUGAGAGACUGAUCGGCCACAAUGGAACUGAGACACGGUCCAUACUCCUACGGGAGGCAGCAGUAGGGAAUCUUCCACAAUGGACGCAAGUCUGAUGGAGCAACGCCGCGUGAGUGAAGAAGGUUUUCGGAUCGUAAAGCUCUGUUGUUGGUGAAGAAGGAUAGAGGUAGUAACUGGCCUUUAUUUGACGGUAAUCAACCAGAAAGUCACGGCUAACUAC